GGAAAAUGAGUUGAAAUUAUUGUUACUAUACACAGAACAAACAUAACCGAUAAUAGAACACGCUAGCGAUGGAUAUAAUUCAAAGGGAUGUCACAGUCACUCCUCCGUCGCACUCGCACGCUCUUUCACCACUUACCCACCUAUAGCACCCACCUCUCUCUUCCUUCACCACUGGGCUUGCACCGCUCAAUGGCCAACACCUCC
This 204-nucleotide unclassified non-coding RNA is filed under the name Hevea brasiliensis (rubber tree). The record is from RNAcentral. Lineage: Eukaryota; Viridiplantae; Streptophyta; Magnoliopsida; Malpighiales; Euphorbiaceae.